This 227-nucleotide ribosomal RNA is filed under the name uncultured bacterium. RNAcentral's name for it is "partial 16S ribosomal RNA". It matches the Rfam family "Bacterial small subunit ribosomal RNA", at positions 383 to 607 of the family's 1533-position model. The record is from RNAcentral.
CUGAACCAGCCAAGUAGCGUGAAGGAUGUCUGCCCUAUGGGUUGUAAACUUCUUUUAUACGGGAAUAAAGUGAGCCACGUGUGGCUUUUUGUAUGUACCGUAUGAAUAAGGAUCGGCUAACUCCGUGCCAGCAGCCGCGGUAAUACGGAGGAUCCGAGCGUUAUCCGGAUUUAUUGGGUUUAAAGGGAGCGUAGGCGGGUUGUUAAGUCAGUUGUGAAAGUUUGCGG